Molecule: non-coding RNA, 109 nt
Organism: Acanthosepion pharaonis
Lineage: Eukaryota; Metazoa; Mollusca; Cephalopoda; Sepiida; Sepiidae
Source: the annotation of a GenBank genome assembly
UUACGGCCAUAUCACCUUGAAACGCCGAUUCCCGUACGGUUACCGAAGUUAAGCAAUGUCGAGUCUAGUCAGUCCUUAGAUGGAUGACUGCUUGGAAAUAACGUGUUGG